RNAcentral lists this long non-coding RNA (212 nucleotides) under Sorghum bicolor (sorghum). RNAcentral describes it as "long non-coding RNA (SBIC_LNC011674)". Lineage: Eukaryota; Viridiplantae; Streptophyta; Magnoliopsida; Poales; Poaceae. The record is from RNAcentral.
GCCUGAACAUCAUCAUAGGCCUGAACACCACCAGACCACGACCCGGCGCGGCGGUUCACUGUGCUCUCCUGUCACGUGUUGUUGCUAGGAAAGCUGCCGCUAUGCAUUUACGAUGACGGAUGAGGAGACUAUAUAGGUGACAACACUUUGGCUUUGUUAGUUACAAAAACAUUUCAAGAUUCAUAUAACAUCGAAUCUUGCGACAUAUGCAU